AAGUAUGCUUUGUUUUUGUCACAUCCACCCUCGGACGCCGCCAGCCGCCAGGACCCAGAUCCUCCAGGAGCGGCUCCCGAGAAGGACAGGUCCCGGUGGUCCGGCCCCGAGCCACGUGCACGGCCCUGGCGCCGGCGGGACCGGAUCAGCCCGAGGUCCGGGCGCGGGUCCCAGGGACGGAGGGAACCACCGCGCAGUCUGCUUCUGGGUGGACCUCGCGGUCGCUCGCGGGAUGCCUGGGAAUCCCGGAGCCCGGGAUGGGCCCCCUCAGGCCUUCACUUCGGCCGCGGGGGCAGGUUAGGCUGGGGGGUUGGGUCGGAGGAGCUCAGGCGGGACGGUCGCCCGCACUGCGGAGAGCUGAGAUUUGGCAAGUUGGGGGGAAACCGAUGCACUAGGACCCCCGAUCUGACAGCUACAGAAUUGGCGAGAAUCCACCGUGCAAGGAACGGAUCACCCUAGCGUGUGAAGAUGGCUUGCCUCUCCAAAGAACAAUAUAUAAUUCACCUAUCUCCAAAGUCAGCCACGGAUUAAAACCCACCAAUCACGGCGGCAGCACACAAU
This is a long non-coding RNA of Artibeus jamaicensis (Jamaican fruit-eating bat), 561 nucleotides long. RefSeq lists it as uncharacterized. Lineage: Eukaryota; Metazoa; Chordata; Mammalia; Chiroptera; Phyllostomidae. The transcript is spliced from 3 exons. The record is from RefSeq and is a predicted model, not a curated record.